RNAcentral lists this ribosomal RNA (253 nucleotides) under uncultured bacterium. RNAcentral's name for it is "partial 16S ribosomal RNA". It matches the Rfam family "Bacterial small subunit ribosomal RNA", at positions 524 to 776 of the family's 1533-position model. The record is from RNAcentral.
UACAGAGGUCCCAAGCGUUGUUCGGAUUCAUUGAGCGUAAAGGGUGCGUAGGCGGCGCGGUAAGUCGGGUGUGAAAUCUCGGAGCUUAACUCCGAAACUGCAUUCGAUACUGCCGUGCUUGAGGACUGGAGAGGAGACUGGAAUUUACGGUGUAGCGGUGAAAUGCGUAGAUAUCGUAAGGAAGACCAGUGGCGAAGGCGGGUCUCUGGACAGUUCCUGACGCUGAGGCACGAAGGUCAGGGGAGCAAACGGG